Molecule: ribosomal RNA, 1229 nt
Filed under: uncultured bacterium
Lineage: Bacteria
Description: bacterial SSU rRNA
Rfam family: Bacterial small subunit ribosomal RNA
Source: RNAcentral
UGCUGCAUGAAAGGUGGCAUUUAGCUGCCGUUUGAGGAUGAGCCUGCGCUCUAUUAGUUUGUUGGUGAGGUAAUGGCUCACCAAGGCGAUGAUAGAUAGGCGGCCUUAACGGGUGGUCGCCCACACUGGGAUUGAGAUACGGCCCAGACUCCUACGGGAGGCAGCAGUCGAGAAUAGUCUACAAUGGACGAAAGUCUGAUAGUGCGACGCCGCGUGAACGAAGAAUCCCCUAUGGGGUGUAAAGUUCUUUUAUAUGUGAGCAAUGCUUUUUAUGUAAAUAGCAUGAGAAGAGAGAUAUUAGCAUAUGAAUAAGCAACGGCUAACUCCGUGCCAGCAGCCGCGGUAACACGGGGGUUGCAAGCGUUGUCCGGAAUUACUAGGCGUAAAGGGCAGGUAGGCGGAUAGAUAAGUUUGAGGUUAAAGGCAACGGCUCACCCGUUGUGCGGCUUCAGAUACUGUUUAUCUGGAAUGCGGUUGAGGAAGACAGAAUUCCUGGUGUAGCGGUGGAAUGCGCAGAGAUCAGGAGGAAUACCGAAUGCGAAGGCAGUCUUCUAAGCCGUAAUUGACGCUAAACUGCGAAGGUGUGGGUAUCAAACAGGAUUAGAUACCCUGGUAGUCCACACAGUAAACGAUAAUCACUAGGUGUCGGUUUCGAAGCGGAAUCGGUGCCGUAGCUAACGCGUUAAGUGAUUCGCCUGGGGAGUACGAUCGCAAGGUUGGAACUCAAAGGAAUUGACGGGGGCCCGCACAAGCGGUGGAGCAUGUGGUUUAAUUCGAUGCAACGCGAAGAACCUUACCCGGUCUUGACAUCUGAGGAAUCCUUCAGAGAUGAGGGAGUGCUGGUUUUACCGGAACCUCAAGACAGGUGCUGCAUGGCUGUCGUCAGCUCGUGUCGUGAGAUGUUGGGUUAAGUCCCGCAACGAGCGCAACCCCUGCUUUCAGUUACCAUCAUUAAGUUGGGGACUCUGGAAGGACCGCUGCGGUAACAACGCAGAGGAAGAUGGGGACGACGUCAGGUCAUCAUGGUCCUUACGACCGGGGCUACACACGUGCUACAAUGGUAGUUACAACGGGUUGCCAAGCCGCAAGGUGGAGCGAAUCCCCCAAAAGCUACCCAAGUUCGGAUUGAGGUCUGCAACUCGACCUCAUGAAGCUGGAAUCGCUAGUAAUCGCGCAACAUCAUGGCGCGGUGAAUACGUUCCCGGGCCUUGCACACACCGCCCGUCAAG